RNAcentral lists this long non-coding RNA (604 nucleotides) under Strigops habroptila (Kakapo). Its description in RNAcentral is "lncRNA (ENSSHBG00005006292.1)". Lineage: Eukaryota; Metazoa; Chordata; Aves; Psittaciformes; Psittacidae. The record is from RNAcentral.
ACUGUCACGUUGACAGUGGAGGACUAAGGGUGCGUGUCGAGUGCCCGGGCUGUCCGGCCACCAGGGGAGCCGAAGGGCCUCUGGGAAGGGCAAGCGGCGGGGCCAGGGCUGGCCUCUUCCUGCCGCCUCUCCGCUUCACUUCGCCGCCCUGAGCAGCUCCGAACCUGCCCGGGUUUAUGGGCAUUUAAUAGCAACUCCUGAGACCUAGACAGGAUGGUGUUUGUGAGGAGGGUAGGAUUUGGUCAGCCACUCAAACAGCGGGGAGAUACGUCUCCUUAUGACCAAUGGAGAAAGUGAAACCAAACGGUGCAGAAGCCAGAGCUCCAGGAAAGAAAGAAAAUGGAAGAGAAUCCAAGUGUGGAUCUGUCUGGAGCUCUUUGGGAGAGCAGCUCCAGAACAGAAGCAGAGAAGGAGCAUGAGCAGAGCUGAAAUUUACAAUUCAGACAGAUGCUUGAAGUGCUUUGGCAUAACUGUUCUGGCCAGUCCUCAACAACAACCUUAGAAAUUCUUCAAAUCCAUCACCUUAAUUUGCCAACCUAGGAAAACCCCUAUCUGUGGAAGAUGUGGUAACAUAUCCUACCAUGUAAUAAAAUAAUUGCUUGCU